Molecule: long non-coding RNA, 774 nt
Filed under: Phaseolus vulgaris (common bean)
Lineage: Eukaryota; Viridiplantae; Streptophyta; Magnoliopsida; Fabales; Fabaceae
Description: long non-coding RNA (PVUL_LNC000582)
Source: RNAcentral
GAUUAUGAUACAACGUAACAAUAUGCCCAAAAGGAAAAUAUACGUUAGCAGAGAGAUGUGGGUCAAGAGGGUGUAACAAACUUCUCAAAAGUGGAUGGAUUGAGGAGAUCCAGCAGGAAACUGUUGGAGUCCAAAUGGAAAAAAGACUACGUUAAUAUAAGGGUUGGGGAGCAAGAGAGAGAGCACGCAAUACGUGAGUCCCCUUCCUUUUGCCUUUCUGAUAUAUUCCUCUAUUUCUGAAUUGCUUAACAUUCUUCACAGGUGAUUGAGAUUAUGAUCAAUGAGAACCCUCAUACUUGCACGGCAACAUAGAGUAGGAAUCACUUGUUUGUUUCCUUAGGAACCUUUGACACUUACCAAUAGACAUGGGUGGACGUUUAGUUCACUGUAAUAAACUUUUCCAGUUUUGUUAUUGAUUCCUUGUUUUCCAUUGGUGUUGGUUCUGGAUUGUUUGACUCUCUCUCUUCAUGGGAUCUCUUCAUGGAUCAUUUAUAGGAUGUGACUGUUGAAAUAUAAAGUAAUUAAAGAAACUUACUAAAUCAAAAGCUUGUAUUAUUUUUGUGAUGAUAAAAUGAUAUGCAUGUAUUUACACACGGAUCUGAUAAAGCUUGGAAUUUUGUAUAAAAGGAAAAACCAAGCUGGAGGGAUAAUAGUGAUUGAGUUGUUGCAUGAAUUUAACCUAUGAAGUUGUGAAGUCGAAAAAGUGGGAAGAGAUUGAAGAAGUCAACGGGAUCCAAACAUGUGAUCAAGGAGGAUGAGAAAGGCCAUGGCGAG